AUACGGAGGAUCCGAGCGUUAUCCGGAUUUAUUGGGUUUAAAGGGUGCGCAGGCGGCCAUUUAAGUCAGCGGUUAAAUCGUGGGGCUCAACCCCAUUCUGCCGUUGAUACUGGGUGGCUUGAUCGCGGUCGAGGUUGGCGGAAUUCGUUGUGUAGCGGUGAAAUGCAUAGAUAUGACGAAGAACACCGAUUGCGUAGGCAGCUGACCAGACCGCAAAUGACGCUCAUGCACGAAAGUGCGGGGAUCGAACAGGAUUAGAUACCCUGGUAGUCCGCACAGUAAACGAUGAAUACUUGUUUUCGGCGAUAUAAUGUCGGAGGCAAAGCGAAAGCGAUAAGUAUUCCACCUGGGGAGUACGCCGGCAACGGUGAAACUCAAAUGAAUUGACGGGG
RNAcentral lists this ribosomal RNA (392 nucleotides) under uncultured bacterium. RNAcentral's name for it is "partial 16S ribosomal RNA". It matches the Rfam family "Bacterial small subunit ribosomal RNA", at positions 523 to 918 of the family's 1533-position model. The record is from RNAcentral.